GGCGCUAUAGCCAAGUGGUUACGGCGACAGAUUAGAAUCGGUCACCGAAUCAUCUGUUCCUCUUUGAGGGCGCAGGUUCAAAUCCUGCUGGCGUCG
Molecule: transfer RNA, 96 nt
Filed under: Pleurotus ostreatus (oyster mushroom)
Lineage: Eukaryota; Fungi; Basidiomycota; Agaricomycetes; Agaricales; Pleurotaceae
Also listed under: 2 other names
Rfam family: tRNA
About the family: Transfer RNA (tRNA) molecules are approximately 80 nucleotides in length. Their secondary structure includes four short double-helical elements and three loops (D, anti-codon, and T loops).
Source: Rfam by way of RNAcentral